Carassius auratus (goldfish) is the source of this 1474-nucleotide long non-coding RNA. RefSeq lists it as uncharacterized. The record is from RefSeq and is a predicted model, not a curated record. The transcript has 5 exons. NCBI's taxonomy places the organism in Eukaryota, Metazoa, Chordata, Actinopteri, Cypriniformes, Cyprinidae.
GAGAGAGAGAGAGAGAGAGAGAGAGAGUUUGCGUAUUCAGAAGGCAACCCGGAGUCAAUAAGCUUGAAAUAAUACAUUAAGUGCUCGCGUAGAAAUCAACACCUUACGUUAGCCGCACUCUUCAGGCCACCUUUUCCAGCAAACCCGGAUGUUUUGGUGCUGGUGUUCACCGAUAAUGUUAAAAUGAAUAAAACAUCAUAAAAGCACCAACUUACCGUUGUUGUCUCCGCCAUAAUUCUGCAAUAUUUCUCUCUGAGCUGUUGCACUGUACGGAAACUGCUGGCCCAGUCCUACUGUCCUGAAAUUGCUGCAAAAUGGCUGCAGUAUUUCGUCCUUUCCGGUGCCUUCGUGCUCAGAAGAGCCUGGCUGCUCGGCAACCAGAAUCCGAAGUCAACAACAGAAGCCGGGCAUACAGAGGUGAAAGUCAUGCGUCGCUCAGCUGCCAAAUCACGGGCCGAUAAAAGCCGCACCGAUUCUGUCCCAGUUAAUGCUGCCCCAGCGAUCCAGCCCAUUGAGACAGUGGACAUUGUCCCGGGCCGCCUUACCGAGUCCAGCUGGACCAGCAUGAUCUCCCAGGAGGAGGGUGAGGAGGUGGUGGCAGACAUUAUAGCAGAACUGAUGGAAGGAGUGAUGGACAGAUGCUAUCAGCUGUAUCUAAAAAGACAGUUGAUACCCUUCUCGGUUUGGUGGGCACAAAAUAACCUGGUGGAGACGCUAGAAUGUCUUCUCCUGAGGAGAGAUGAAGGGGAUGAUCCAGAACAUGGACUCUUUUGGCAAGAGGAUCAAGAACCUCAGCCCUGUGCGAUUGAUUCCUGGGCUGAAGGAUGUGUUCCUGUGCUUCAUGCUGCUCAGGAAUAGCACAACGCUUUAUCACAGGUUUAUAUGGCAUUCAGACAUCCUGAAGUGAAAGGACUGCUGGACCAUACAGAGGUUUGAUAUGUCUAACCCAAAAUCCUGUUGCACACAAAUUGACUGUACAUAAUGUCUCAACAGAACUACACCAACUCCAACCUGCUUCGGCUCAAUCCCAGUAGAGCGAUGAUCCUGAAUUAUUCACGAAAACUCAAGAAAGUCUGACUUCAUUAAAACUCCACACAUAAGGAACUCCAAGGAAGCAAAUCUCUGAUCCUCUAGGGGUGUAAUUGCCUCUAUCGCUCGCCAAGUGUAGUCCUACUUCGAAUAUUUUCAUUUGACUCUCUCAGCCUCAAAACACAGACUAUUUAGGCCUGCAGGUGAGGAAACAGUGAUGCUAUGAGAUCCAAAAACUCAUGGACUAAUGUUGUAGCCUUUAGAGCACAGCUAGUAACAGACCAGAACAGUGUGAACCAUGACUGGAAAAAAAUAGCAGCUUUAGGUUCCUGCUGCAUACAGUGCUGAGACAUUUUUUACUGCGCUCUUUUUGCAUUGAGUAAAUCAAUGCCUUGUCUGCAUUUUUCUCUGACUGUUGUUGUAAUAAAGAGUUUGACUUAAGUCA